This 76-nucleotide transfer RNA is filed under the name Podarcis lilfordi (Lilford's wall lizard). Its description in RNAcentral is "tRNA.Ala". The stretch from base 12 to 68 matches the Rfam family "tRNA", at positions 8 to 63 of the family's 71-position model. From Rfam's summary of the family: Transfer RNA (tRNA) molecules are approximately 80 nucleotides in length. The record is from RNAcentral. Lineage: Eukaryota; Metazoa; Chordata; Lepidosauria; Squamata; Lacertidae.
GCAUACACACAUAGCUCAGUGGCAGAGCAUCUGCCUUGCAUGCAGAAGGCCUCAAGUUCAAUCCCUGGCAGCUCCA